Molecule: long non-coding RNA, 1972 nt
Filed under: Daphnia pulex (common water flea)
Lineage: Eukaryota; Metazoa; Arthropoda; Branchiopoda; Diplostraca; Daphniidae
Description: uncharacterized LOC124191427, transcript variant X9
Source: RNAcentral
UGCUUAUUGAAAUUUGGGCAUCAGGCCAAACUCUCCAAAAAUUGAGUUGCAGAUUUAAUUUAGGAAAUCUCUAAUUUGUCUUGACUAUAAAAUGGCUCUCUGACUUACCAAGUGCCAACGCUGCAAAAAGGCUGAAUUGAUAAAGUCUGGCAUUGCUGUAUUGCUGUGGAAGUUGAGAAGUUGACGACAGAUCUGAAAAACUUAAAGUCAUCAGUUUGCAAAGUAAAUCCAUUCUGAAACUUUGUACUGUUAAUAAGAAUCGAGGUUUUCUACAUACGUAUUGGUGCCCCAAAUCUAAUAAGGAGUUUGUGAGGUUGUUGAUCUGAAUGAUAUGAAUGGCCAUCCAGUCAGUUGUAACUGAUAUUCAUGACGAGAUGAUGAAGAUACUAAUGCCACAGAAAAGAUAUACUGUCAGUUUUUCACCAUUGCACUCAUCACAUGGAAGGAACAAGGAAUGAAGGGACGGUGUUGCUACUGAUAUGGGAUGUUGAGUCAAGACUUUGCAGCAAUCCAGUAACAUAUCAUCAGGCAUGGCUACAAGAAGUUGGAAAUGUACUUUCUCGUUGUGAUCGUCCUCAAUUCGUUACCAAGGGCAUGUGAUUACCACGACGUACUUGAAGGUGGCUAACUUGAAACAUGAUGAUGGUGUCUUGGUGGAGUAUUGCUAGGUGCUGACCUUUCAACACCGAUUGAUGAGUAUUGCUGUUCGAGAAGUUACUUCUGUGUGUGUUUAACGGUCGGAAGCAACAGUAGCAGUAGCCUGCACAGCAUCCAUGUUUCAAUAUGAACGUCGGGUGGUGGAACCAACUUGUUAGCUGGAUUGAAACCUACUUGCUAUCACUGGAUUUAACUGAGUGGUUAUAGCUGUGGGUGUUGGAUCGAGUCAGGGAGAGGCUGUAAUCUGAACAUCAGGAUUAUUUCAGUUGGGUUUUAUUCAACACACUAGGAAUCUACCUACGAUAGUAAAAAACUAGGCGUCGGGAGAGUCACUACAGAUGUUACUUGCCGCAGAAGUUCUCCAUUAACAAACCGUUAUCACUUCCAUUAUAUCAAAGGACUUACGCAUCAGAAACUUGAUGGUGAUGAAAUUUGACUAUACGGUCAAUUGAGUUCGACUACAUCACGAGGUGAAGCAUCUAGCCCAUUGUUGUUCAAGAUUUCCAUCACGGCCCCAAGAAAAACUCGCCGUUUAGAAUCUAACUCAUUGGUGAAAAUCCAGGACCAUGAAGGAAAUAUCAACUCAGGCCAAACAGCUGUUGCGCUCUACGUAUUACUCAAACCCAUCAACUAAAAGUGUUACUCCUGGAACAUCAAUGAGUGUUGUUCGUCAAACAAUUUUUCGUAAAUAAAGUUAUGUAGCUCGAAAACAAGUCGACAUACCUUGGGUCUACACAGCCGGAUUUCGCGUCAACUGGCGUAUUCAAUUAUUCAUAUCUCCAAAGAUGGCAAAAUCAACACUAGUUUCGAGUCAUUUUACAUAAAACUAGCGAAGGGAAAUUUCCAUGAUUCCUCCAGCAUUCUAGCUGAUCAGGACGAUGUAACACCUCAUGGACAACUACGUAAACUUUAAAAUCUUCAUCUUCUUAGUGAAGGAGUCAAGCAAUGAAACAGAUCCAUUGACUGCCAUUUUGCUGAAUUGAAGCUGUGCACCAUUUUCUGGCCUUUGCUGGAACUUUGGAUUUUGACCCGCCACAAGUGAAGAUAGUUGGGAAUUUACGCUGUUAGCAUUGCCACGAGUGCACGAGAGUUAGGAAUAGUUUAUGCUAGUACGACAACCCCAUCUGUCUUUUUUUCAAGGGAAUAUAGAGACUAGGAUUUGGGGGAAAAUGCGGAGUAAAAAUCAGAUUAAAUCGGCAACAAGUAUGUUGCUAUAGAAUAUUUGACUCUCAUAAAAACAAAAUAAGUAGCCUUUAUAUAAUAUACAUUUAUAUUGAAGUUUAAUAUUACAUACAUUACAUUUUUGUAAAAACGU